This 463-nucleotide ribosomal RNA is filed under the name uncultured bacterium. RNAcentral's name for it is "bacterial SSU rRNA". It matches the Rfam family "Bacterial small subunit ribosomal RNA", at positions 331 to 792 of the family's 1533-position model. The record is from RNAcentral.
CCAGACUCCUACGGGAGGCAGCAGUGAGGAAUAUUGGUCAAUGGCCGAAGGGCUGAACCAGCCAAGCCGCGUGAAGGAAUAAGGCCCUACGGGUCGUAAACUUCUUUAGUCAGGGAACAAAGGGAGCCACGCGUGGCGCUGUGAGUGUACCUGAAGAAUAAGCAUCGGCUAACUCCGUGCCAGCAGCCGCGGUAAUACGGAGGAUGCGAGCGUUAUCCGGAUUUAUUGGGUUUAAAGGGUGCGUAGGCGGUUUGUAAAGACAGCGAAAAAAAUCCCGGGCCCACCCCGCCCCCGCCGUUGAAACUGGCGAACUCGAGAGGGAGAGAAGUAGGCGGAAUGCGCAGUGUAGCGGUGAAAUGCAUAGAUAUCACGCAGAACUCCGAUUGCGAAGGCAGCAUACCGGCGCCCAACUGACGCUGAAGCACGAAAGCGUGGGUAUCGAACAGGAUUAGAUACCCUAGUA